GAAUAUUGGACAAUGGGCGAAAGCCUGAUCCAGCAAUGCCGCGUGAGUGAUGAAGGCCUUAGGGUUGUAAAGCUCUUUUACCCGGGAUGAUAAUGACAGUACCGGGAGAAUAAGCCCCGGCUAACUCCGUGCCAGCAGCCGCGGUAAUACGAAGGGGGCUAGCGUUGUUCGGAAAUACUGGGCGUAAAGCGCACGUAGGCGGCUUUUCAAGUCAGGGGUGAAAUCCCGGGGCUCAACCCCGGAACUGCCCUUGAAACUGGAUCGCUAGAAUACUGGAGAGGCAAGUGGAAUUCCGAGUGUAGAGGUGAAAUUCGUAGAUAUUCGGAAGAACACCAGUGGCGAAGGCGACUUGCUGGACAGUGAUUGACGCUGAGGUGCGAAAGCGUGGGGAGCAAACAGG
Molecule: ribosomal RNA, 400 nt
Filed under: uncultured bacterium
Lineage: Bacteria
Description: bacterial SSU rRNA
Rfam family: Bacterial small subunit ribosomal RNA
Source: RNAcentral